UGUAUUUUUUUUCACUUAAUGAUAGAAAGUGCGGGUAGGAUUCUUUUAUUGUGAAUCAGACUAAAAUAAUUUUAGUUUGAGCGGUUAAAAUCAAAUAUGAUUUUGCCAUGAGAAUAAUGCCGAAACUGGCUAUGUAGUCAAACACUGUCGUCUGGCUAAAUUUAGAUCUACAAAUUUUUGUACACCUCGUUAGUACAUUAAAUCAUCUAGACUCUAAUUUGAAAUAUUAUUAAUUGAAAGAUGAAUGAAGAUUACUGCCAGUGAAGAACAUUUGUGAUGUAUGACCUGCCCAUAAGAUGCCACAUUUUCCUCCAUGAUGAACUGUGUACUAAUGAAGAUGAUUCUGGAAUGUUAUGAACAUUGACAUUGAAUAUGAGGAACUGUCAAGUCAAGAUGAAGAUGUCAAGAUUUUAUGUUUGUUGUCUUCCCCUUAAAUUGAAAAUGCCCUUGUAAGACUUGACAGUAGUGGAAAAAUAUUGCCAUAUUUUUUUUUCAAGGGGGGGAGGAAUCUGUUAGACACCUUAUUUAUAUAGGUUAGUUAUUUAGCGACGCACCAUAGAAGACGCAUAUUGAACGGGACUAGUGACGUUUGGGAUAUGUUGGGUUAGAGACCGGAAAAUCAGUUAGCGAUAGAAUACUCCAGGGUAACGACGUGUUUAGUGACAGAGACUUCUACUGUGGCCUUUUAUCAGAAUAAAUCUAUGUGAAAUUGUU
Long non-coding RNA from Biomphalaria glabrata, 714 nucleotides. RefSeq lists it as uncharacterized. NCBI's taxonomy places the organism in Eukaryota, Metazoa, Mollusca, Gastropoda, Planorbidae. The record is from RefSeq and is a predicted model, not a curated record. The transcript is spliced from 2 exons.